UUUGUGGAGAGUUUGAUCCUGGCUCAGGACGAACGCUGGCGGCGUGCUUAACACAUGCAAGUCGAACGGAAAGGCCCCUUCGGGGGUGCUCGAGUGGCGAACGGGUGAGUAACACGUGGGUGAUCUGCCUCGCACUCUGGGAUAAGCCUGGGAAACUGGGUCUAAUACUGGAUAGGACCGCGCUUUAGUGUGUGUGGUGGAAAGUUUUUUCGGUACGAGAUGAGCCCGCGGCCUAUCAGCUUGUUGGUGGGGUAAUGGCCUACCAAGGCGUCGACGGGUAGCCGGCCUGAGAGGGUGGACGGCCACAUUGGGACUGAGAUACGGCCCAGACUCCUACGGGAGGCAGCAGUGGGGAAUAUUGCACAAUGGGCGCAAGCCUGAUGCAGCGACGCCGCGUGAGGGAUGACGGCCUUCGGGUUGUAAACCUCUUUCGACAGGGACGAAGCUUUUGUGACGGUACCUGUAUAAGAAGCACCGGCUAACUACGUGCCAGCAGCCGCGGUAAUACGUAGGGUGCGAGCGUUGUCCGGAAUUACUGGGCGUAAAGAGCUCGUAGGUGGUUUGUCGCGUCGUCUGUGAAAUUCCGGGGCUUAACUCCGGGCGUGCAGGCGAUACGGGCAUAACUUGAGUGCUGUAGGGGAGACUGGAAUUCCUGGUGUAGCGGUGGAAUGCGCAGAUAUCAGGAGGAACACCGAUGGCGAAGGCAGGUCUCUGGGCAGUAACUGACGCUGAGGAGCGAAAGCAUGGGGAGCGAACAGGAUUAGAUACCCUGGUAGUCCAUGCCGUAAACGGUGGGCGCUAGGUGUGAGGGUCUUCCACGACUUUCGUGCCGUAGCUAACGCAUUAAGCGCCCCGCCUGGGGAGUACGGCCGCAAGGCUAAAACUCAAAGGAAUUGACGGGGGCCCGCACAAGCGGCGGAGCAUGUGGAUUAAUUCGAUGCAACGCGAAGAACCUUACCUGGGCUUGACAUAUACAAGAUCGGCGUAGAGAUACGUUUUCCCUUGUGGUUUGUAUACAGGUGGUGCAUGGUUGUCGUCAGCUCGUGUCGUGAGAUGUUGGGUUAAGUCCCGCAACGAGCGCAACCCUUGUCUUAUGUUGCCAGCACGUGAUGGUGGGGACUCAUGAGAGACUGCCGGGGUUAACUCGGAGGAAGGUGGGGAUGACGUCAAAUCAUCAUGCCCCUUAUGUCCAGGGCUUCACACAUGCUACAAUGGUCGGUACAACGCGUUGCGAGCCUGUGAGGGUGAGCGAAUCGCUGAAAGCCGGCCUCAGUUCGGAUUGGGGUCUGCAACUCGACCCCAUGAAGUCGGAGUCGCUAGUAAUCGCAGAUCAGCAACGCUGCGGUGAAUACGUUCCCGGGCCUUGUACACACCGCCCGUCACGUCAUGAAAGUUGGUAACACCCGAAGCCCAUGGCCCAACCAGUUUCUGGGGGGAGUGGUCGAAGGUGGGAUCGGCGAUUGGGACGAAGUCGUAACAAGGUAGCCGUACCGGAAGGUGCGGCUGGAUCACCUCCUUU
Molecule: ribosomal RNA, 1519 nt
Filed under: Corynebacterium pseudotuberculosis CIP 52.97
Lineage: Bacteria; Bacillati; Actinomycetota; Actinomycetes; Mycobacteriales; Corynebacteriaceae
Also listed under: 1 other name
Description: 16S ribosomal RNA
Rfam family: Bacterial small subunit ribosomal RNA
Source: RNAcentral